RNAcentral lists this ribosomal RNA (254 nucleotides) under uncultured bacterium. RNAcentral's name for it is "partial 16S ribosomal RNA". It matches the Rfam family "Bacterial small subunit ribosomal RNA", at positions 524 to 777 of the family's 1533-position model. The record is from RNAcentral.
UACGUAGGUGACAAGCGUUGUCCGGAUUUACUGGGCGUAAAGAGCGCGCAGGCGGUCGAUCAAGUCGAGUGUGAAAGCCCCCGGCUCAACUGGGGAGGGUCAUUCGAUACUGAUCGACUCGAAGGCAGGAGAGGGUAGUGGAAUUCCCGGUGUAGUGGUGAAAUGCGUAGAUAUCGGGAGGAACACCAGUGGCGAAGGCGACUACCUGGCCUGUUCUUGACGCUGAGGCGCGAAGGCCAGGGGAGCAAAGCGGG